GGCGGCGAAACGAAGUGUGUCUUCUGGAACUUCAGGCUUGCCAACAACACAGGGGGGUGGGACAGCAGUGGGUGCUAUGUAGAAGAAGGUGAUGGGGACAAUGUCACCUGUAUCUGUGACCACCUAACAUCAUUCUCCAUCCUCAUGUCCCCUGACUCCCCAGAUCCUAGUUCUCUCCUGGGAAUACUCCUGGAUAUUAUUUCUUAUGUUGGGGUGGGCUUUUCCAUCUUGAGCUUGGCAGCCUGUCUAGUUGUGGAAGCUGUGGUGUGGAAAUCGGUGACCAAGAACCGGACUUCUUAUAUGCGCCACACCUGCAUAGUGAAUAUCGCUGCCUCCCUUCU
Molecule: long non-coding RNA, 341 nt
Filed under: Homo sapiens (human)
Lineage: Eukaryota; Metazoa; Chordata; Mammalia; Primates; Hominidae
Description: non-protein coding lnc-PLA2G7-3:1
Source: RNAcentral